GCGUGUAGUGGCCGUCGAUCCAGAGCGCCAUGCCGUGCAGCGUAUCGGCCGCGACGCCGAGAUCCGCGCGCGCGGACGCGCGCGCGAGCGCCGACAGUUGCCCGCCGAUGCGGCGCACCGCGUCGCGAUCGCCGGCGACGUGGUGAUACACCGCGAUCGUCCACAACGCGCCCGCGGCCGCCUUCGCGUCGCUCAGCUCGCCGACGCGCGACAGCACGCGGUCGGUAUGCUCGCGCACGCGCGGAUCGCCCCAGCCGUCGCGCGCCAUCUGCGCGUGCGCGAGCGUCAGGUCGACCGAUACCGCAUCCUCGUGCUGCCCCGGGUAGUCGCAAUGCAGCAGCCAGCCGCGCACCGCGCCCGCAUAGCGGAUCGCGUCGUCGUGCAGCGCGCGCGCGAGCGCGCGGCGCGCGGCUUCGAUGCCGUGCGGCACCGCGGCGGCGAACGCGUGCGCACGCGCGAAGUGAUCGGCGAUGCUCGCCGAGCGCGCCGCCGGAUCGCCCUGCGCGACGCACGCGAGCAGCGCCUGCGCGACGCGCCGAUGAUAUUCGCGGCGCGUCGCGGCCGGCAUCGAUUCGUAUGCGGCCUCGCGCAGCAAUGCGUGACGGAACACGUACGUCGCGCCGCCGAUGCGGUGCUGCGCGUACAGCACGCGGCCUUCGAUCAGCCGCCGCAACCGCUCGUCCAGUUCCGCGCCCGCGUGCGGCGACGCUUCGGCGAGCAGCCGCGCGUCCACCUCGAGGCCGAUCGUCGCGGCGAGCUGCACGGUAUCGAGCGCGUCGUCCGCGCGUUCGAGCGCGAGCUCGAGCGUCUCGCGCAGGCUGCCCGGCAGCGGACAGCGCCCCGCCUGCGCGAGAUCGGGCAGCCGAGCGCCCGCGCCCGGCGCAACGCCGCCUUCGGCGAGCGCGCGGACCGUUUCCUCCACGUACAGCGGCACGCCGCCCGUGCGCUUCACGAGAAAAUCGAGCGCCGCGCGCUGCGUGCCCGCGCCGGGCAUCAGCGACACGAUCAGAUUGCGCGUCGCGGCAGCCGACAGGCGGCGCAGCAUCAGGCGUUCGGCGCCGCGCCGCCAGCGCUCGAGCCGCUCCGGCCGCGACGUCAGCACGACGCACACCGCCGCGCACGCCGGGUGGUGCGCGAGCGCGUCGAGAAAAUCGUCCGUCGCGCUGUCGCACCAUUGCACGUCGUCGACGAUCAGCAGCACGGGACCGCCGCCGCCGAGCGAGCCGAGCAGUUGGCACAGCACGUCGAAAAGCGCCUGCUGCUGCCGCGCGCCCGACCAGCGCAGCGUAUCCGCGCCGCCCGGCAGGCCGAG
Molecule: ribosomal RNA, 1312 nt
Filed under: Burkholderia mallei FMH
Lineage: Bacteria; Pseudomonadati; Pseudomonadota; Betaproteobacteria; Burkholderiales; Burkholderiaceae
Description: 16S ribosomal RNA
Source: RNAcentral